GGCUGCCGCGGAGAUGCAGCCCGGCCGCUGCCGUAGUAAGAGAGCUGCUCCUCCGGUGGUUGGGCUGAGGAACGCUGGGCUCCUCCUCCUCGUCCCCCCCAGCAGUGCACAGCCGGGCGUGUGACUGACGAGUCUCCCCCCGUCUAUCUUUUUCUUUUUUUUCCUUUUUUUUUUUUUUUUUUUUUUUUUGCCAUGGGUACACACACCGAGACACGCACAUGACAGCACUCGGGUGCCAGCGCCGGUGCAUCGCCAGGAGGGCUGUGCUUCACUCCGGGCACGCACACACGCAUGCUGCUGCUGCUUCUGCUGCUGGAAGUCUUUCUACACGGGGAUUAGCAGCCGCCUCUUCGCUCUAUUUCCCUGUCUCUUUCUUCUCCCUUCCUUCCCUUCCUCCUUCUCUCCCUAAAACGCCUGACUGACGGACGGCGGGCAGGAAAAGCCUAAAGCAUCACAAGGGCCAUAUUGUUCAGGAUUUCAGAGAGCAAUCGUUUAUCUUUGUGGAUACAAGUAAACGGACAAUGGUGUCCCGACCAUCUGCUCAAGCUGCUUGAGAACAGUCUUCUAUGCAAAUGGCAUGAAAGGUUCAAAUCACUGACAACUUUCUAUGCGUCUAGGAUCAUUCAAAAUGUGGCAGUGUACUUGAGACCUCGAUGUGGAAAAGAUAAAUAUGCCAUGGGACCUGUAGGAGAUCUGCAGCCUCCUAAUGGGCUUUCUGGAGCCAGGAAGGAAUGUUCCAAGCAGGGAAAAAGCAAUAACCCCAACUGGCAGUCCAAAAAUAACCAGAUUGGAGGGUGAAAGGAAAAAGAAGGAAAAGGGAAGACUAAAAUGGAGAGGUAAACUGUUAUUGUGUAGCCACAAUUCCCUUGCAAGGGGGAGCAGGGAGGCAGCAUUUUAUCAGGAGUAUGUGGGAAUGCAGUGGUAUAUGGUGACUGCAAAGGAGGAGCAGAGACAUCACUGCUACACCAUACCAUUUGAAAUGAAGAGAUUUGAGGGAGACAGAGGGGAGCAUCUCCAGUUCUCAUCUGGAGAUGUUAGUACUUUGUGGUCUGUUGUUUAAUAAAGUUCCUUAAAUACCUCCUGAAUAUUGGACUGUUUCUAGUAAUUCACUGUAAUAUUAUCUCUCCCCAUUUCUAUGGUGACUUCUGGUCUCACAUCAAUAGUUUUAGUCUGGGUCGUUCAAACAUUCCUGAUUCUUUGCAAUUAAGUUGUGCAGGAGCAGAUUCAUUUUUGUGAUUUCUUUUCCUUGAUCAUCAGAUGAAUGAAGGGUGUUGUGCAUGCUGCAGGAUUGUGGCAUGUUUAGGCUGUGAUAUGUGAUAUUUUGCAUCUUCUUUGUAUUUGUGGAAAUGAAAAACCUCAGCCAAAAUGGAAGGAAAGUUAUGAGUCCUGAAAUGGAUAUUCUCCUUUUCUGAUUCAGAAAUGAGCUGUGAUAUGAUAUAAUUUGAGGACUGGAAAGGAAAGGGGAGGAUGGGAGGAAAGUAGAAAAUACAAGACUCAAAAGUGCUUAGAACACAGUUGCAACAUCUAUUGCUUUUUUUCCUCAUGAAAAUAAAUUUAAAUGUUUCUUCUUGAACA
Molecule: long non-coding RNA, 1575 nt
Organism: Lonchura striata (white-rumped munia)
Lineage: Eukaryota; Metazoa; Chordata; Aves; Passeriformes; Estrildidae
Source: Ensembl